AAGACUAUACUUUCAGGGAUCAUUUCUAUAGUUCUUGACUUGAGAAAUGUGUUUCUAAAGUGUUUGGUCUCGCCAACUACGAUGAUGAGAUGCGAUAUUCCUUCCUGAGCAUGAAGCUGGCAGAAAGCAAUGAUUGUAUCAUAUAUCUUCUGCCCUUGAUGAUUGUUCACUGCUCUGUUGUGGAGCAUUGAUGGAAGGAAUAUGUUCAGAGUAGUU
This is a small nucleolar RNA of Hippocampus comes (tiger tail seahorse), 216 nucleotides long. Lineage: Eukaryota; Metazoa; Chordata; Actinopteri; Syngnathiformes; Syngnathidae. The record is from Ensembl.